Molecule: ribosomal RNA, 253 nt
Filed under: uncultured bacterium
Lineage: Bacteria
Description: partial 16S ribosomal RNA
Rfam family: Bacterial small subunit ribosomal RNA
Source: RNAcentral
UACGAAGGGGGCUAGCGUUGCUCGGAAUCACUGGGCGUAAAGCGCACGUAGGCGGCUUUUUAAGUCAGGGGUGAAAUCCUGGAGCUCAACUCCAGAACUGCCUUUGAUACUGAGAGGCUUGAGUCCGGGAGAGGUGAGUGGAACUGCGAGUGUAGAGGUGAAAUGCGUAGAUAUUGGGAGGAACACCAGUGGCGAAGGCGGCUCACUGGACCGGAACUGACGCUGAGGCGCGAAAGCGUGGGGAGCAAACGGG